Long non-coding RNA from Portunus trituberculatus (swimming crab), 800 nucleotides. RefSeq lists it as uncharacterized. The transcript is spliced from 3 exons. NCBI's taxonomy places the organism in Eukaryota, Metazoa, Arthropoda, Malacostraca, Decapoda, Portunidae. The record is from RefSeq and is a predicted model, not a curated record.
AUGGUAAGACUGCGUAGACACGUGUUUAUUAAUCCGAGUUUAUUUAGUAUUUGUGACGUCAUCCAUCGACUCUAGGGCCAUGAACAGAUCCACCAGGCAUUGGGUCUUCCGUGGAUGUGGAAGAAGUGGAUAGCUCAAGUGGAUGAUGUGGAUAAUAGAGGAAAAAGGUAGAGUGUUCACCUGUUUGUGGUGGUGAAUUCUUCUUCUCACCUGUAUGAUCAGCUGUACAGGUGUUCCAGGUGGUCAUUAGUGUACCUGAGAAGUCAAGUUCGUUGGCGUAAUAUACAUCGAGAGAGAGAGAGAGAGAGAGAGAGAGAGAGAGAGAGAGAGAGAGAGAGACGCCUUAACUGUAACAUUACUUAAGUUCACGCAAACAAUGUAACCAGCGAAAAUCGGAAGAAAAUGUACUAAAAGAGGAAAAAAAUAAAGGAGAAAGAGAGAGAGAGAGAGAGAGAGAGAGAGAGGAAAAGCUUUGUGUGUGUGUGUGUAUGCGUGUGUGUGUGUAGGAAACAGGAGGCCAUUACAAGUGUCGAGUAUUGAUAACAUUGAUAAACUUUCCGCCUGAUAAUUUCUCUCAGGUUAAUCAGACGGGUUAAUACAACACACUUCCGGUGGUGUGUGCUUUUCCUCCUUACUCCUUUUGUCUUCUUGUUUUCCUCAUUGUCCUGUCUUCUUCCUCCUCCUCAUUACGUGUUAUCAUUAUCCUAUUCUUUGAUUUAUUUAUUCGUCCUCCUUUUAUCUGAUUGUGUUUAAAAGCCAUUACUGUUUGUUUUGUUGGCUGUUUAUUGAUGUUAUUUAUG